RNAcentral lists this ribosomal RNA (300 nucleotides) under uncultured Garciella sp. Its description in RNAcentral is "bacterial SSU rRNA". It matches the Rfam family "Bacterial small subunit ribosomal RNA", at positions 496 to 795 of the family's 1533-position model. Lineage: Bacteria; Bacillati; Bacillota; Clostridia; Eubacteriales; Eubacteriaceae. The record is from RNAcentral.
GCUAACUACGUGCCAGCAGCCGCGGUAAUACGUAGGGGGCAAGCGUUGUCCGGAAUUACUGGGCGUAAAGGGCACGCAGGCGGUAUUUAAAGUCAGAUGUGAAAGUCCACGGCUCAACCGUGGAAUUGCAUUUGAAACUUAAGUACUUGAGUGCAGGAGAGGAGAGCGGAAUUCCUAGUGUAGCGGUGAAAUGCGUAGAGAUUAGGAAGAACACCAGUGGCGAAGGCGGCUCUCUGGACUGUAACUGACGCUGAGGUGCGAAAGCGUGGGUAGCGAACAGGAUUAGAUACCCUUGUAGUC